UACGUAGGGGGCGAGCGUUGUCCGGAAUCAUUGGGCGUAAAGCGCGUGUAGGCGGCUCGAUAAGUCCGGUGUGAAACCUUGGGGCUCAACCCCAAGCCUGCACUGGAUACUGCCGAGCUAGAGUCCGGGAGGGGAGAGCGGAAUUCCUAGUGUAGCGGUGAAAUGCGCAGGUAUUAGGAAGAACACCGGUGGCGAAGGCGGCUCUCUGGAACGGUACUGACGCUGAGACGCGAAAGCGUGGGGAGCGAACAGG
Molecule: ribosomal RNA, 253 nt
Filed under: uncultured bacterium
Lineage: Bacteria
Description: partial 16S ribosomal RNA
Rfam family: Bacterial small subunit ribosomal RNA
Source: RNAcentral